This 512-nucleotide ribosomal RNA is filed under the name uncultured bacterium. Its description in RNAcentral is "bacterial SSU rRNA". It matches the Rfam family "Bacterial small subunit ribosomal RNA", at positions 15 to 518 of the family's 1533-position model. The record is from RNAcentral.
GAUCCUGGCUCAGGAUGAACGCUAGCUACAGGCUUAACACAUGCAAGUCGAGGGGCAGCAUGAAGUUGCUUGCAAACUUGAUGGCGACCGGCGCACGGGUGAGUAACGCGUAUCCAACCUUCCCUAUACUAGAGGAUAGCCCGGCGAAAGUCGGAUUAAUACUCUAUGUUCUUCGUAGAAGACAUCUGAAAUGAAGCAAAGGUUUACCGGUAUAGGAUGGGGAUGCGUCUGAUUAGGUUGUUGGCGGGGUAACGGCCCACCAAGCCCACGAUCAGUAGGGGUUCUGAGAGGAAGGUCCCCCACAUUGGAACUGAGACACGGUCCAAACUCCUACGGGAGGCAGCAGUGAGGAAUAUUGGUCAAUGGACGAGAGUCUGAACCAGCCAAGUAGCGUGCAGGAUGACGGCCCUAUGGGUUGUAAACUGCUUUUAUACAGGGAUAAAGUUCACUACGUGUAGUGUUUUGUAGGUACUGUAUGAAUAAGGACCGGCUAAUUCCGUGCCAGCCGCGGC